RNAcentral lists this small RNA (125 nucleotides) under Marmota monax (woodchuck). Lineage: Eukaryota; Metazoa; Chordata; Mammalia; Rodentia; Sciuridae. The record is from RNAcentral.
GCCCGGCGCAGUGGCACACGCCUGUAAUCCCAGUGGCUUAGGAGGCUGAGACAGGAGGAUCGCGAGUUCAAAGUCAGCCAAAGCAAUGGCGAGGUGCUAAGCAACUCAGUGAGACCCUGUCUCUA